RNAcentral lists this long non-coding RNA (1823 nucleotides) under Marmota monax (woodchuck). Lineage: Eukaryota; Metazoa; Chordata; Mammalia; Rodentia; Sciuridae. The record is from RNAcentral.
CACAGAUCCAGCCCAAGAGCACUGUUCCCUGGCCUCACCCAGAGAAACAGGAUGACUGGCAAUCUGCUGUUCGCCUACAUCAUUGGCCUGCUGGUCUUCACUUCUGCAUGCCACUCCACGGGCUGCAAGCAUGGUGUCACACAGGGCAAUUCAGAGUCAGGUACUAUUGUGGACCAUCUCGGGACUGCCUGUUGUGAUCAGUGCUUAAGCAGGGCCUAGGAAGAGAGAAUGCUUAGAAGAAGCCAGUUUUAAGGGGCAUAAGGGACUGCUGGACACUGAACUCAUGCACACAGGGGCUGGAGGGAAAUGAGAGAUGCUUCUCCAGUAACUGGGCUUUGGCCUGGAUUUGAGAGAAUGCACCGGGGAGGUCUGUGUUGGGCCUGUUGGGACCUUUCCUCUGGACUAGCUGGAGGAUAGGAAGCUCUGUCCCAUCUGCAAUUCCAGGCCUUCCCCACCCAGCAUCAACUGCUCUCAGCCACAGGUAGCUGUCCCCAAACACAGAGGCCUACUGAUCCAAGCUGGCCUGAGCAGGAGGACAACCCAAGCAUCCUGCAAGGAAGCUCUGCUGGGUACCUAACCCAAUUCUCUUCUACUGUGUGUCCAGCCAAUUCCUUUUUAUGCCAGCUGUGGCAGAGCUGAAGGAAGUCUGAUCCCCAGCUCAGUUCUGCUGAGGUUUACAGGGGCUCCACGUGGGGCUGUGGGAUAUGUGAGAGUGGGCAUGUGGGCAACCCCUACAGCCUCCCUAUUGUGUGCCUGGCUCCUCUGAUGGUCUCAGGCCCCACAGGUGCCUGUCCUCCCCAGGGUUCUGGGCCCUGGAACCCAUUUGGGGGACCUAGCAGGUGAGUAUUGGAUCAUGGACCUAAGUAAGGUUGGCUCGGUUGGUGUUGGGUUGCAAAAUCAAGGCCAGAGUGGGAGAAAAGGCUUGUGUGUGCUCUGCCUAUGGUCAGGGGCCCUCUACCAGGGCCUAGGGAAGAGGUUUGAAUAAUGGGGUAAUGGGAAGUGCAAUAGGGGUCUGGUGGGCAGAUGACAGAGGAGGGUACAACAGUGGUGGCUUCAUUGUUGAAGAGGAAGGUGUCCCUCUGUCAUAGCCCAGGGAGACCCGUUCCACAACUGAAGGUGAGGAUGCUGGGGGCUGUUACUGAGAGCUGGUCUUCAAUCACCUGAAAACAGAAGUUAAGUCCAUUUUGCACCUACCCUUGAGUGCUCUCCAGAUCCGCCUGGCCCAAGGACCUCAGUCUCAUGGUAUCAGCUGCACUCCUGAGUCGGAACCCCAGUCUGUGCCGCUCCCGGGUGCCCACACUUUCCCCACCGCCUCCCUGAUGGCGCUCACCCGCAUCCAUCCCAGUAGACUCUCCGGUAGGACAGAAAGCGCCUCGGGCGACUCAGAGUCUCUGUUUUCCUUAGCACACGGGCAUGAAAACCGAAGGCUUUCUGGGGCUUCUGCAGGAGAAGGAGCAGGAGCAGGAGCAGGAAACGACGACGAAGGGCUCUCAGGGUCGGCCGCAGCAGCAGACAGCGUGCCGGGACUGUCUCUCACAGAGGGACUCACAGAGGGACUCACAGAAUCAGGAAAUGCCGCGGAGAACGCUCUGGCGGCCAUAGCCAACAACGCCGCCGCGGCUCUGGCGUCGCUAGCAGGACAAGAUAACGACGCCGCCCCCGCCACCGCCGAGCUGCUCCGGAACAAUCGACAGGCAGGGGCAGGCCAGCUGCCUCUCGUGCGCCGGGCGAUCGCUGCGCUGCGUCGACGGCACGAGCUGCCCGCCCCAGCCCUGGCGGCAGAGCCCGCGCACCUCCCCAGGCCCACGCUGCAACAGAGGUGC